GUGAGUGGGUGGGGGGAGGUGGCCGUGGAAGUUGGGUGGGUGCCCUUUAUCAACUCCUCAUUCCUUCCUUCCUUCCAG
RNAcentral lists this microRNA precursor (78 nucleotides) under Mus pahari (shrew mouse). RNAcentral describes it as "microRNA 7058 (MGP_PahariEiJ_G0006581.1)". Lineage: Eukaryota; Metazoa; Chordata; Mammalia; Rodentia; Muridae. The record is from RNAcentral.